RNAcentral lists this long non-coding RNA (772 nucleotides) under Parus major (Great Tit). RNAcentral describes it as "lncRNA (ENSPMJG00000014587.1)". The record is from RNAcentral. Lineage: Eukaryota; Metazoa; Chordata; Aves; Passeriformes; Paridae.
AUGGAGGCCACCGGAGACAGCCUAGCGGGUCAGUGCGAGCGCCGUGGCCCGGUUGGCUGGGCGACGCCCCGCCCCCGCCAGCCCACCGCUCCCAUUGGCGCCUCGGGGGGACAGGCCAGCUCUCAUUGGCCGGCGAGGUGUCGCUCCCGGUGUCUCCGCUCCGGGGCCCGGGGAACUAUUUUACAUUGGGCGGAGGGAGGGAGGGGGCUCGGUCCGGUCGCUCCGGGAGCGGCACCAGCGGCGGGCCCGGGCCGGGGAUGCUGGGAUGCUGCGGGCGCUGCCCCCGCCGGGACGGCGCUGAGGCGCUGCUGCCCCCGCCGGGACGGCGCAGCGCAGUUAGUACUCGGAAUACUUGAAGACUACACUCAUGCAAACUUCAUGCCUUUGAAGGUCUCUAAAUUUACUGCAAAUGGAAAUAUAUCAUUAAGUAAUCAUGUCCACAAGUCAAAGAAGGAAUCUAGCAAGUUCAAAUUGAGGUAUAUUCUCAAGACAAGACACAGUGACUCAUUUGCUUUUCUGGGUAAGAAAGGUAUCUUUAUUCUCUUGAGUGUGACAAAAAGUAGUUAACCUUUUAAAUUUAACUUUUGAAAAGUACAGUCUGUCAAGCCAAUAUGCUGGGGGGUUGUGGGUGGAAUGUUUUGUUGAUUUUUAUUUGUUCUUGAAGUUUUUUGGGCAUGUGUAGAGAACUUUGCACCCGUCUAACAGUCUUAAGAUAUUUUAGACUAGUAGUGCAGAGGAAGAGCAAUAAAGAGCAGUUUCAGAAUAAAAGACA